AACGAACGCUGGCGGCAUGCCUAACACAUGCAGGUCGAACGAGACCUUCGGGUCUAGUGGCGCACGGGUGCGUAACGCGUGGGAACCUGCCCUUAGGUUCGGAAUAACUCCCCGAAAGGGGUGCUAAUACCGGAUAAUGUCUUCGGACCAAAGAUUUAUCGCCUUUGGAUGGGCCCGCGUUGGAUUAGCUAGUUGGUAGGGUAAAAGCCUACCAAGGCGACGAUCCAUAGCUGGUCUGAGAGGAUGAUCAGCCACACUGGGACUGAGACACGGCCCAGACUCCUACGGGAGGCAGCAGUGGGGAAUAUUGGACAAUGGGCGAAAGCCUGAUCCAGCAAUGCCGCGUGAGUGAUGAAGGCCUUAGGGUUGUAAAGCUCUUUUACCCGGGAUGAUAAUGACAGUACCGGGAGAAAAAGCUCCGGCUAACUCCGUG
Molecule: ribosomal RNA, 433 nt
Filed under: uncultured bacterium
Lineage: Bacteria
Description: partial 16S ribosomal RNA
Rfam family: Bacterial small subunit ribosomal RNA
Source: RNAcentral